Molecule: ribosomal RNA, 1598 nt
Filed under: Escherichia coli
Lineage: Bacteria; Pseudomonadati; Pseudomonadota; Gammaproteobacteria; Enterobacterales; Enterobacteriaceae
Description: partial 23S ribosomal RNA
Rfam family: Bacterial large subunit ribosomal RNA
Source: RNAcentral
CGAAUGCUGACAUAAGUAACGAUAAAGCGGGUGAAAAGCCCGCUCGCCGGAAGACCAAGGGUUCCUGUCCAACGUUAAUCGGGGCAGGGUGAGUCGACCCCUAAGGCGAGGCCGAAAGGCGUAGUCGAUGGGAAACAGGUUAAUAUUCCUGUACUUGGUGUUACUGCGAAGGGGGGACGGAGAAGGCUAUGUUGGCCGGGCGACGGUUGUCCCGGUUUAAGCGUGUAGGCUGGUUUUCCAGGCAAAUCCGGAAAAUCAAGGCUGAGGCGUGAUGACGAGGCACUACGGUGCUGAAGUAACAAAUGCCCUGCUUCCAGGAAAAGCCUCUAAGCAUCAGGUAACAUCAAAUCGUACCCCAAACCGACACAGGUGGUCAGGUAGAGAAUACCAAGGCGCUUGAGAGAACUCGGGUGAAGGAACUAGGCAAAAUGGUGCCGUAACUUCGGGAGAAGGCACGCUGAUAUGUAGGUGAAGCGACUUGCUCGUGGAGCUGAAAUCAGUCGAAGAUACCAGCUGGCUGCAACUGUUUAUUAAAAACACAGCACUGUGCAAACACGAAAGUGGACGUAUACGGUGUGACGCCUGCCCGGUGCCGGAAGGUUAAUUGAUGGGGUCAGCGCAAGCGAAGCUCUUGAUCGAAGCCCCGGUAAACGGCGGCCGUAACUAUAACGGUCCUAAGGUAGCGAAAUUCCUUGUCGGGUAAGUUCCGACCUGCACGAAUGGCGUAAUGAUGGCCAGGCUGUCUCCACCCGAGACUCAGUGAAAUUGAACUCGCUGUGAAGAUGCAGUGUACCCGCGGCAAGACGGAAAGACCCCGUGAACCUUUACUAUAGCUUGACACUGAACAUUGAGCCUUGAUGUGUAGGAUAGGUGGGAGGCUUUGAAGUGUGGACGCCAGUCUGCAUGGAGCCGACCUUGAAAUACCACCCUUUAAUGUUUGAUGUUCUAACGUUGACCCGUGAUCCGGGUUGCGGACAGUGUCUGGUGGGUAGUUUGACUGGGGCGGUCUCCUCCUAAAGAGUAACGGAGGAGCACGAAGGUUGGCUAAUCCUGGUCGGACAUCAGGAGGUUAGUGCAAUGGCAUAAGCCAGCUUGACUGCGAGCGUGACGGCGCGAGCAGGUGCGAAAGCAGGUCAUAGUGAUCCGGUGGUUCUGAAUGGAAGGGCCAUCGCUCAACGGAUAAAAGGUACUCCGGGGAUAACAGGCUGAUACCGCCCAAGAGUUCAUAUCGACGGCGGUGUUUGGCACCUCGAUGUCGGCUCAUCACAUCCUGGGGCUGAAGUAGGUCCCAAGGGUAUGGCUGUUCGCCAUUUAAAGUGGUACGCGAGCUGGGUUUAGAACGUCGUGAGACAGUUCGGUCCCUAUCUGCCGUGGGCGCUGGAGAACUGAGGGGGGCUGCUCCUAGUACGAGAGGACCGGAGUGGACGCAUCACUGGUGUUCGGGUUGUCAUGCCAAUGGCACUGCCCGGUAGCUAAAUGCGGAAGAGAUAAGUGCUGAAAGCAUCUAAGCACGAAACUUGCCCCGAGAUGAGUUCUCCCUGACCCUUUAAGGGUCCUGAAGGAACGUUGAAGACGACGACGUUGAUAGGCCGGGUGUG